This 1480-nucleotide unclassified non-coding RNA is filed under the name Hevea brasiliensis (rubber tree). Lineage: Eukaryota; Viridiplantae; Streptophyta; Magnoliopsida; Malpighiales; Euphorbiaceae. The record is from RNAcentral.
AUUAUUAUUAUUAUUAUUAUUUUCAAUACUGUGUUUUCAAUAUUAUUUUAAGUAGAGAAAGGGAAAGAGAUAAUAAAGAAAGAAGUGCAGUGUGUAGGUGUAAUCGUAACUCAGAAACGAACAAAUUAUCAUCUUUCUUCAACAUUUCUGAACUCCGAUAGUCUCCAAAAUUCAAAAAAUGGAUAAAUUCUUAAUCCAACCACUAAUCGCUGUGUUAAUCUCUUCUUUAAUCGCUAUUGGAGCUUACAGGAGAAAAUCUCUCGACUUAUCUGGUGCAGUUACCGGAUUUCUUGUUAUGACCAUUCACUUCGCAAUCAAUUACAGGUCACUUCUUUAACUCUUUUUCUUUUUCUCUACCGUGUUUGGUUCCUGAGAAAUCCCAGAAAGUUUAUGCUUCUAUUUUGUUUUAUUUUAAUAAUAUUUGUUGAAUUUAGUUUUGGAGCUAUAUUGCUUGCCUUCUCCUUCUCUUCAUCGGAAAUUACGAAGGUUGGGGAGGAGAAGAAGAGGCGCAUUGAUGCUGAUUUCAAGGAGGGCGGACAAAGAAAUUGGAUACAAGUUCUGUUUAAUAGUGGUAUUUCUACAGUUUUGGCUGUGGUUUUUUGGAAGCUAAGUGGAUUGCAGGACAAGUGCUUGGACACAAAAGAAUCAACUGUUAUCACAUCUUUAAUUGGUGGUAUUAUUGGCCAUUAUUCUUGUUCCAAUGGAGACACUUGGUCUUCAGAGCUCGGGGUGCUUAGUGAUGCACAACCUCGUUUGAUCACAACCUUUAAGCCUGUUCGGAAGGGUACAAAUGGCGGGGUAACAAUGGUAGGACUUGUAGCAGCUGCAGCAGCAGGAAGUGUUAUUGGACUCACAUUUGUUCUCUUUGGAUUUUUCACAAGAAGCUGUGAAUAUGAUGUAGCUCUGAAGCAGAUCUUGGUCAUACCCCUAGCUGCAAUGGCAGGAUUAUGUGGGAGUCUUAUAGAUUCGCUAUUGGGAGCUACGCUGCAAUUCAGCGGAUUCUGCACUGUUCGUAAUAAAGUUGUUGGAAAACCAGGACCAACAGUGAAGAAAAUUUCGGGGCUUAACUUUCUUGAUAACAAUGCUGUGAAUCUUGUUUCGAUACUGUUGACCUCAUUGCUGACUUCCAUUGCGUGUGUAUACAUUUUCUAAACUGAUAUUUUCAGUCAAGUUUUGUUGUAAUGUUGAGAUUGCACAUGUGAAUUGUGCUUUUGCAACUGAAUAAUGUAUCAAUUGUAAGGAGAACUUUAAUCUAGCCGUUUUGAGAAGCUUGAUGAUGCUGGUCUAUAAAGAUGGAAGUACGAUGUAAUCGAGCCGAGUAAAAAUAUGUACUUACAAGUUUGAGUUGGACUUGGUUUGAAUUUUAUAACGAAGUGGAGUAAAUAUAGUGUCAAGCUCAAGUUCAAUUCGGUUCUGAAAUUUGAGCUUCGAACUCAAGGCAACUUUGAGUUUUAUUAUUAUUAUUUGAGCUUGAAUUAAG